GUGAGGAAUAUUGGACAAUGGAUGGAAAUCUGAUCCAGCCAUGCCGCGUGCAGGAAGACGGCCCUAUGGGUUGUAAACUGCUUUUAUACGGGAGCAAUAAGGUCUAUGCAUAGAUUGAUGAGAGUACCGUAUGAAUAAGCAUCGGCUAACUCCGUGCCAGCAGCCGCGGUAAUACGGAGGAUGCGAGCGUUAUCCGGAUUUAUUGGGUUUAAAGGGUGCGUAGACGGCUUUGUAAGUCAGCGGUGAAAUUUUGCAGCUUAACUGUAAAAGCGCCGUUGAUACUGUGAAGCUAGGAUUUGGUUGCUGUGGGCGGAAUGUGUGGUGUAGCGGUGAAAUGCAUAGAGAUCACACAGAAUAUCGAUUGCGAAGGCAGCUCACAAAGCCAAUAUUGACGCUGAGGCACGAAAGUGUGGGGAUCAAACAGGAUUAGAAACCCGUGUAGUCC
This 445-nucleotide ribosomal RNA is filed under the name uncultured bacterium. Its description in RNAcentral is "partial 16S ribosomal RNA". It matches the Rfam family "Bacterial small subunit ribosomal RNA", at positions 354 to 796 of the family's 1533-position model. The record is from RNAcentral.